RNAcentral lists this small RNA (1816 nucleotides) under Pan troglodytes (chimpanzee). Its description in RNAcentral is "processed transcript". The record is from RNAcentral. Lineage: Eukaryota; Metazoa; Chordata; Mammalia; Primates; Hominidae.
GACUGUCUGUAUUAGGGCUGGGAGCAGGAACAUGGAUUUGAAGACAUUAAAACUGUUUAAUUCUCAGUUGAGAUGUGGUUGGCUCUUAUACAUUUGGAAUAAAGCAUUUAUGGCACAUCUCAGGGUUCCACAAGAUGAAUGGACAGGGUACACCCCUCGAGGUAAAGAUGAUGAAAUUCCAUGCCGAAGAAUGCGGAGUGGCAGUUAUAUCAAGGCCAUGGGGGAUGAAGACAGUGGAGACUCAGACACGAGUCCCAAGCCUUCUCCAAAAGUUGCUGCGCGGAGAGAAAGCUAUCUCAAGGCUACUCAGCCAUCCCUUACAGAACUCACCACACUCAAAAUCUCCAAUGAACACUCACCCAAACUCCAGAUCCGGAGUCAUAGUUACCUGAGGGCAGUGAGUGAAGUCUCCAUCAACCGGAGCCUGGACAGCCUGGACCCUGCAGGCUUGCUCACAUCACCAAAGUUCCGCUCCAGGAAUGAGAGCUACAUGCGAGCCAUGAGCACCAUCAGCCAGGUGAGCGAGAUGGAAGUGAACGGGCAGUUCGAGUCCGUGUGCGAGUCCGUGUUCAGCGAGCUGGAGUCGCAGGCCGUGGAAGCGCUGGACCUGCCCAUGCCCGGCUGCUUCCGCAUGCGGAGCCACAGCUAUGUGCGGGCCAUUGAGAAAGGCUGCUCCCAGGACGACGAGUGCGUGUCCCUGAGGUCGUCCUCGCCGCCGCGCACCACCACCACCGUUAGGACCAUCCAGAGCAGCACGGUGGAACUGGAGACAUCGCGUACUUCCACCCUUGCAGGCUCAGACGAAAGAAAAAAGAGCAAGAUUUAUGACACAACCUACUCCUUUUGUGAGGCAACUUAUCCUUGUCUGCUGUUACAUUGAAGGAAACUGACAGUGAUGAUUUGCAGGAGACUUUUGGUUAUAACUUCUCCUUUCUUCUGUGGGGCACUCGAGGUAGGAUUCCUCUAUAAUAUUAGGAAGUCAUAAAAAUGCAAAAGUCCUAUCAGACACAGAGCAAGAUUUAAAAUCUGAAGAAUACCAUGUGCUUCCAUCUCCUGCAGUUGUUUUGAAGUACAUAAAUCACCUCUUGGGAACGGAGUGCCAACCUUGAGGGGCUAUGCCUCACAGACAGCCAACAAGCAAGUCCACCUUUGCCCACAUUCGGGGUUAUUGCAUGGCAAACAGUGAAGGGGCUUCCAGGGUUUUCUGGCACACUGGCCUUAAAGGCUGUUGUAAGGUUCACAUGAGAUCAUUCACAAGGAAGCAUUAUGCAAAUUACAAAUUAGAAUGCCCUACUUUGGCUUUGAUUUUAAAUCUCUCAAUCUGGCUUAGUUUAAUAAUAAUGAUAAUAGCUAACCUUUAAGCACUUAUUAUUUGACAAGCAUACAAACAGCUGCAUACAUUGUCUAAUGUAACCGUAAUGAAUACUCUAUGACUUGCACAUGAUAUUAUCAUUUAAAUCAAACAGAGAAAAAAAAAUGUAAGACUUAGAGAGGUUACACAACUUGACUAGGCCACACAGCUAGUAAGUGAAAUUCUCUCUGUAAUCACCAAUAAAUGCCUUGGAAACUAUGGUAUAAUCUGAAAUAAUUUAAUACAAAUCCAUUUAUAGAAUAAAAGGCCUAGGAGCUUUUUUCUUUCAUUCUUUCCUCUCACAAAUAUGCAUUUAGCUUCCUGCCAUAUUUGAAAUCUGUAUUUUCUAUAUCAGUUUCUAAAAAAUUCUCUUUUUUAAAGAAACAUUUUUUCACAUAUUAUUGACAUGGCCUCUCAUGUUGGUUUGCCUGUGAAAUAUCUGUUUAAAGAAAAAGAUGAAAAAAA